RNAcentral lists this long non-coding RNA (7826 nucleotides) under Gossypium barbadense (sea-island cotton). RNAcentral describes it as "long non-coding RNA (GBAR_LNC019532)". Lineage: Eukaryota; Viridiplantae; Streptophyta; Magnoliopsida; Malvales; Malvaceae. The record is from RNAcentral.
CUUUUGCUAAAGAUUACAUAUUGUUAGCCUUGUCGGAGUUGAAUGCUUGUUGUAGGCUUGAUAUUGUGAUCUUGUAGCCGAACAUUUGAUGAUAGUGGAGCUCUUUAUCGGACUCUAAAGUCCCGUGGUUUUUACCCUUAAUUUAGAGGGGUUUUCCACGUAAAAUACCGGUGUCUCUAUUUAUUUUUAUUGUGGUUGCAUUAGUUGAUUUGUGGUUGAUUAAGGUUGCUAGAGAACAUAUCUUGUGCUAUUGUGCUUGCCAUAAUUUUUGACAAGAGUUAUAGGGAGAGAGAACACCAGUUGUGCUUUCGCUUUGUUUCGGUUGUUCGGUUUCUUCCCAACAAACUGGUACCAGAGCUUGGUUAUUGUGUCAGAUAAUUAUGGAAAUUAAUACGAGCAAGAUGAUUAUGUUGAAUGGCACAAAUUAUCAACUUUGGCGGAAUAAAAUGAAGGACUUGUUGUUUGUGAAGGCUUUGCAUCUUCCGGUCUUUACUACUCAAAAACCUGAUUCGAAAAGUGAUGAAGAAUGGGAAUUUGAGCAUCAACAAGUGUGUGGCUUUAUUCGGUAAUUUGUUGAAGAAAAUGUUUACAACCACAUUGAUCAGGAGACACAUGCUCGAACAUUGUGGGAGAAGCUUGAAAGCUUGUAUGCUUCGAGGUCGGGCAAUAACAAGUUAUUUUUGCUGAAGAAAAUGAUGGCGCUGAAAUAUAAAGAAGGAAUGUCUAUAGCUGACCAUGUUAGUGAAUUUCAGAGUAUGAUGAAUCAGUUGCUUGGUAUGGGUGUCAAAUUUGAUGACGAGAUUUUAGGACUUUGGUUGCUUGCUACUCUACCAGACUCUUGGGAGACCUUUCGAGUCUCACUCAUUAAUUCUGCCCCACAGGGUAUUAUUACUUUGGAUUUGGCUAAGAGUGGUGUGUUGAAUGAAGAGGUUAGAAGAAGAUCUCAGGGCUCUACAUCACAGUCCGAGGUGUUGGUUAUCGAGAACAGGGGGAGAAACAGAGACAAAGAUGGAAAGGGUAGAGAUAAAAGCCGAAGCAAGUUAAGAUCGAGAUACAAGAAUCUUGAGUGUCAUCAUUGUGGUAAGAAAGGUCAUAUCAAGAAAUAUUGCUUCAAGUGGAAGAAAGAGAACAAAGGUGGUGGUGAUAAACACGAUCAGAAUGACGAUGAAAAAUCCGAGCGUGUUGCUACUGUUACUCGUGAAGAUUUGUUAGUUAUUUGUGAUGAGAAUUUGGUCAACCUAGCAUGCGACGAGACUAGUUGGGUGAUUGAUACUGGUGCAUCACUUCAUGUCACGUCGAGGAAGGAAUUCUUCACAUCUUAUACUCUUGGUGAUUUUGGGGUAUUGAAGAUGGGUAAUGAUGGUUUGGUUUCGGUUAUUGGUAUGGGAGAUGUUAGCUUGGUAAGUAACAAUGGAACAAAGUUAACUCUCAAGGAUGUCAGACAUGCACCAGAUGUUCGUUUGAAUUUGAUUUCUGCAGGAAAGCUUGAUGAUGAGGGAUUCUGUAACACCUUCAGUGAAGGGCAGUGGAAGCUGACUAAAGGCUCAUUGGUUGUGGCUCGAGGAAAGAAGAGAUCAAAUUUGUACUUGAUGCAAGCUUUGACUUCUCGAGAGACGGUGAAUGUGACACUGAAUGACAACUCAACUGAGUUGUGGCAUAAACGACUCAGUCACAUGAGUGAGAAGGGGCUUAGCUGUUUAGCGAAGAAGAAUCAACUUUCGGGUUUAAAGAAUGCUACACUGAAGAAUUGUGCUCAUUGUCUAACAGGAAAGCAGAGAAGAGUUUCAUUUAGAAGUCAUCCUUCUCAUAGGAAAUCAGAGUUGCUAGAGUUGGUCCAUUCAGAUGUUUGUGGUCCGAUAAAAGUAAGAUCACAUGGUGGUGCACUUUACUUUGUGACUUUCAUUGAUGAUUGUUCAAGAAAGCUAUGGGUUUACACUUUGAAGUCCAAAAAUCAAGUCUUUGAGGUGUUUAAACAGUUUCAAGCAUCAGUUGAAAGGGAAACUGGGAAGAAGUUGAAGUGCAUUCGUACUGAUAAUGGUGGCGAGUACACAGGGUCAUUUCAUGAGUAUUGUCUGCGACAGGGAAUCAGACAUCAGAGAACACCACCAAAGACUCCACAGUUAAAUGGGUUUGUAACACCCCUUAACCCCGAACCGUCGCCGGAACAGAAUUACGAGGCAUUACCGGACGUAUCAAACGAUUUACAACAAUUCUUAAAUAAAUAACCAAUAUAUUAAAAUAAUUCAUAAAAUUUAUUAGUUUGUUUACCAAAUGACUUCAUUUUUUUUUAUAAAAAUUUCGGCAGCAUUUCUGCUUAUUUUUACAUAAAACCCCCUGCAAAUUAAAACCAUAUAGUUCCCAAAUAUCACCAAUUCAACCAAUUCAUUUCACAUUCACAUUUUCUAUUCUAAAUACUUCUAAUCAAACUCAAUCUACACAAUAUCAAUUUAAAAUUUAACAAUGUACUAAUUAGAUAAAAUAGAUAGACUUCUUUCAUUAAAAUCCAUAAACUUUUAAUACUAACAUUUUUAACCAUUAUAUAUUAAAACAUAAUAACCUUUAUACACAAUCUAUGUACAUGCCACCUUUACCAAAGGAAAAAUACAUCACCAAGUUUUGUCGAAGCCGGGAUUAAUCUGGAUGCUGAACCGGGACCUUUGACUUCUAUCGACCUGCGCACGGAAACAACCGUACGCUGAGUAAUUCAUACUCAGUGGUAUUACCAUAAUUCAAAUUAUAACAAUAAUGUACAUGUAAUGCAUAAAUCGUAUAUACAAUUUAAAUUCAAUAUUUCAACAAUAGCAAUUCAUCAACCAAUAUCGUAUAUCCACAAUUUGAGUUUGAAUAAAUCACGAACCUUAGGUUCAUUUCUCAAUCUCAUUUCACAUUUCAAUUCACAAUUCAACUUUUUCAUAUCAUUUCAAUAGCUCGUUUGACCAACUCGUUCGGUUUAUCAUUUCAUCAUUUACCCUAUUAACAAAACUCGGACUUUGGCGGAUACACGGAUCCAACCAAACACACCAGAAUGGCACCCAGUGCCUCAUCGGAUAGUUCGAAGCAAUAGUUGACACCCAGUGUCUCAUCGGCAAAGCCGAAGAAAGUUGGUACCCAGUACCUCAUCGAAUCUAUCCGAAGAAAUAUAGUGACACCCAGUGUCUCAUCGACUCGAGGUCGAAGUAUCCCUGAACUCUUCCAAUCCUAUGGCAUGCCAACUAUAUCCGACUCAGCCCGACUAGUUAAUAGGGUAUUUAAAUCACAUAUAUUCUCAAUUCAAUCACAAUUUCUCACACUUUCAAUUCAAUCAUUUUUCCACAUUCAAUCAAUAAUUAUUUCACAAAUUCACACAUUUUCACAACUCAAUACAUUUCCAUACAAUUUAAUACCAUUCACAAUUCGAUUCAAAUUCAUUUCCCGCUUUCAAUCAACAAACAAUUCAAAUAUUAAUUCAUAUAAACUAUUCAAUUUAAUUCCCACUCAUAAUAAUAAUAAUAAUACUAAUAAUAAAUUAAUACUAAUAUUAUACUUACCUCACAUUUCAUUUACUAGACACAUAAAUUAAAAUUUAGCAUUUAAUAAUAAAUAACUUGAAUUAUAGUAAUACAAACCGUUAUUCUCCCGUUUUAGUCCUCAAUAACUUUCUCCUUUCCUUUUGACGCCGAUGCCUCGGGUUCUUUGUUAGCUACGAAAAUAAUAAUUUGUAAUAUUAAUUACAGCACUAAUUAUAAUAAAUAAUUGAAUUUCUAUUCAAUUUCUUCCUAAUUCUCAAUUUAAUCCUAACUAAAUUCACUUACUUUCCUAAUUCAAUUCACGCUCUAUUUCUAUUCAAAUUUCAUCCAAACUAAAAUUUAACUAUCAAAAUUUCAGCAUAUUUUGCUAAUUUCGAAUUUCCCUCAAUUUAGUCCCUAAAACAUAAAACUUAUAGUUUCUUUUACAAUUUAAUCCCUUUUUUCAAUUCUAACUUAAAAUUCCUUCAAGUUAAUCCCUAAUUCAUCUCUUUUGUUCAACAUAAACUAUACUUGAAAACCUAUGAACUUACAAAAUAUCAACUUAAUUCCAUCAAAACUUUGUUUUAAAGCUUUUAAAACAUUAGAAUUAAGAGAAAAGGGCUAAUUUGACUUACCAAUCAAAGUUUUAAACCUUAAACCUUCAAUUUUUCCUUUUUCUUUCUUUUUUCUUCUUUCUCCCCUGUUUCUUCUCUGUUUCGUCUUUGGCUAUUCUGUUUCUUUCUUCUUUUGUUUCUUUUAUUCUUUUAUUUUAACUUACUUUACUUUAUUUCCUUUAUUUUAUUUCUUUUGUUUUCUUUUAUUUAAUUACUUUAAUAUAAUAAUUAAAACAAAUAUCUAUUUAGUAAUUAAAUAUAAGUAUUACAAAUGUAUGUAUUUUAUUAAUACACUUGUAUUAAAUAUCACCAUACAUUUGUCUUUAUUUAAUUUAUUUCUUAAUAUAAUAUUUAUAAUAUAAUUAAUUUAAUAAUAUCAUUUAUAAUUAAUUUAUAUAUUUAUAUAAAUAAAUAAUAUAAAAAUCUAAGAUUUUUACAAUGUUAUGCCGCCUCAACUUCCAAAUGUGGCUUAAUUGCCCAUUUGGUCCCUCUUAUUUUCUUUUGAUCUAUAAUUAAACAUUUACCCUUUAUUCAAUUUAAUCUUUUUUCCUAAUUAUUCUUAAUUAGAUUAAAUUCAUCUAUCUAAAACUUAAUUAAACACACAACUAGUCUCGUAAAUAUUUCUAAUAAUUAUUUUCGAACUCAAUUUACUAAGACGGAGGCCCGAUAUUAUACUUUUUCGAUGCCCGUGAAUUUUGGGUCAUUACAGGGUUAGCUGAAAGAAUGAACCGAACAUUGAUUGAGAGAGUCAGAUGUUUGUUGUCAGAUGCAAAGUUACCAAGAUCGUUUUGGGCUGAAGCUUUGAAUACAGUGACACAUGUGAUAAAUCUGUCUCCUAGUGUUCCUUUGAAAGGUGAUGUGCCAGAUAGAGUUUGGUUUGGUAAAGACGUGUCAUAUGAUCACCUACGUGUGUUCGGGUUUAAAGCAUUUGUUCAUGUUCUAAAGGAUGAAAGAUCCAAGUUGGAUGCCAAGGCUCGACAAUGCAUUUUUAUUGGUUAUGGUCUAGACGGUGAGUUUGGUUAUAGACUCUAUGAUCCAGUUCAGAAGAAACUCGUGAGAAGCAGAGAUGUUGUCUUCAUUGAGGAUCAGACCAUUGAUGACAUUGAUAAGACAGAGAAAGUGGAUUCACAAGGUAGUAGUGACUUGAUUGAUGUGAAUCUGGUUCCCCUAGACUCUUCACCAGAUCCUAUCCAGGAUGAUGUGCAUGGUGAUGUUAGUGGUGUCCGUCAGACUAUAGGUGACUUUGAUACUUCCAUGGAUGAUGUUGUGAAUGAUCAACAACAAGCACCUAUAGCUCCACCAGCAGUUCCACUUCGAAGGUCUUCCAGAGAUCGACGAUCUUCUGUCAGGUAUUCUCCUGAUGAAUAUGUUCUUUUGACUGACGGGGGAGAACCUGAAUGUUAUGAAGAGGCUAUGGAGAGUGAAUGCAAAGAUCUGUGGGUUGAAGCGAUGAAAGACGAACUUCAAUCCUUACAUGAGAACCAUACUUUUGAAUUGGUGAAACUGCCUAAGGGAAAAAGAGCUUUGAAUAAUCGGUGGGUUUACAGGUUGAAGCAAGAAGAGAAGUCUUCAUCUCCACGAUACAAAUCUAGAUUGGUCGUCAAGGGUUAUACUCAGAAAAAAGGGGUUGAUUUUGAAGAAAUAUUUUCUCCGGUUGUGAAGAUGUCCUCUAUCAGAACUAUACUGAGUUUGGUAGCUUGUUAUGACCUAGAGGUUGAACAAAUGGAUGUGAAAACUGCUUUUCUUCAUGGUGACUUGGAAGAAGAGCUUUACAUGGAGCAGCCAGAGGGUUUUGUUGCACAAGGGAAAGAGGACUAUGUGUGCAGAUUGAAGAAGAGCUUGUAUGGUUUGAAGCAAGCUCCAAGGCAAUGGUACAAGAAGUUUGAGUCUGUUAUGGGGGAGCAAGGCUACAAGAAGACUACUUCUGAUCAUUGUGUGUUUGUUAAGAGAUUCUUUGGUGAUGAUUUUAUUAUUCUUUUACUCUAUGUUGAUGAUAUGCUUAUUGUUGGUCAGAAUGCUUCUAGAAUUGAGAAGUUGAAACAAGAGUUGAGUAAAUCCUUUGCAAUUAAGGAUUUGGGGCCAGCAAAGCAAAUUCUUGGCAUAAGACUGACACGUGAUAAAAAGGCCAAGAAAUUAUGGUUAUCACAAGAGAGGUACAUUGAGAAAGUACUUCAAAGGUUUAGUAUGGACAAAGCUAAAGCGGUGAAUACUCCAUUUGCUAUGCACUUUAGAUUGAGUGUUAAGCAUAGUCCUUCCACAGAAAAGGAGAAGGAAGAGAUGCAGAAAAUUCCUUACUCUUCAGUCGUGGGUAGUUUGAUGUACGCAAUGGUUUGCACGAGACCAGACUUGGCUUAUGCUGUUGGUACAGUUAGUCGGUUUCUUUCUAAUCCAGGCAGAGAGCAUUGGAAUGCAGUGAAGUGGAUUAUGAGAUAUCUUCGUGGCACUUCCAACAUGAAACUUUGUUUCGGCAAUGAAAAACCUGUUCUUGUUGGGUAUACAGAUUCAGACAUGGCCGGAGACAUUGACUCGAGGAGAUCUACUUCAGGUUACUUAAUCACUUAUGCAGGGGGAGCAGUGGCAUGGCAAUCGAGACUGCAAAAGUGUGUUGCAUUGUCCACCACCGAAUCAGAGUUCAUUGCAGCAACCGAAGCGUGUAAGGAGAUGCUUUGGAUGAAGAAGUUUGUGCUUAAGCUUGGUUUUACUCAGGAGAAGUAUGUCCUAUACUGUGAUAGCCAGAGUGCUAUUUAUCUUGGUAAGAACUCAACUUUUCAUGCUAGAUCUAAGCAUAUUGAUGUGAGGUACCAUUGGAUACGAGAUGUUCUUGAAGCUAAGCUGUUAGAGCUUGAGAAGAUACACACUAAUGAUAAUGGUGCUGAUAUGUUGACGAAGGCCUUACCAAGAGAAAAGUUUGAAGCAUGUUGUUUGACCUCCGGUAUGGAGGCAUUCCCCACAUAGUUGGAGGGGAAGAUUUGUUAGGAGUGGGUCCCACUAUGUGGGAAACCCAUAUUUUCUGCCACAAUGUUUUGCCUUCUUUUUGGUUUUGUCAAAAGCCAAUUUUUUGGCCUUUUAACGUGGGAGUGGGCAGCAUUCUUAAUUGAGAGCAAAAUUGUCAAUUACAUCCAGAGAGAAAGAGAGUGAAAUUGAAGCUCGUUGGAGAAAAAGAGAGAAUAGAAAAAUCAGUUUUUCAAGUUUGGUGCAGCAGUGAUCAACUCUUCGAUCGAAGGUCCAUCCGUGGUUCGAUUGAGCUGAUUUUUGGACAGCAGCUAGGCGAUAAGGUGUUCUUGAAUUUGUACAGUCGGAUUUUUCAUCCGAGUCUUUUAGCGUCAGAAAUACCCAUUUUUCAACAGCUGCGUUUUUUGGUGAUGUUCUCUCAUUUUUCUCUCUUUUGCUAAAGAUUACAUAUUGUUAGCCUUGUCGGAGUUGAAUGCUUGUUGUAGGCUUGAUAUUGUGAUCUUGUAGCCGAACAUUUGAUGAUAGUGGAGCUCUUUAUCGGACUCUAAAGUCCCGUGGUUUUUACCCUUAAUUUAGAGGGGUUUUCCACGUAAAAUACCAGUGUCUCUAUUUAUUUUUAUUGUGGUUGCAUUAGUUGAUUUGUGGUUGAUUAAGGUUGCUAGAGAACAUAUCUUGUGCUAUUGUGCUUGCCAUAAUUUUUGACAGGAGUUAUAGGGAGAGAAAGAACACCGGUUGUGCUUUCGCUUUGUUUCGGUUGUUCGGUUUCUUCCCAACA